RNAcentral lists this unclassified non-coding RNA (936 nucleotides) under Daphnia pulicaria. RNAcentral's name for it is "uncharacterized LOC124311431, transcript variant X3". Lineage: Eukaryota; Metazoa; Arthropoda; Branchiopoda; Diplostraca; Daphniidae. The record is from RNAcentral.
GAAAAGGCCAGAGAUAUCAGUCGAUGAGCAUCUCCGACACGGCAACAACUGCUGUGCCCUAUCUGUCACCAUCUGCCUUCUUCAUCGUAUUGCCACUUCGCAUCCAUGGUUAAUAAGGCGUCGUAUGCUGUUUGGUGUUGUAUCGUUGAUGGCUGGGUCGACCACUGGUGUACUGAUGUCUCCUGGGUAUGGCGGAUCGGACCAAACCGCAACGCCGCCACCUUACUACCCAAGAGCAACUAACGUAACGACCAGUUACUGCACCGAGAUCUCCAAGUACUACACCACUAAGGCAUCGGAGUUUUAUACCACAACUUACGCUGCCCCGCGCCACUUCACUGACGCCCUGAAGUACUACUCUGCCCCGAGUUACUACACCACCAAGGCGACGGAGCAUGACUACGCAUGCUGCCCCAUCCUACUACACCGAUGCUAAGUGUUACACCGAGGCUUCCGCUGAUUACUCCACCAAAACGGUCGAAUACUACACCGAAGUGGUACUACUCUGCCCCGAUCUACACAACCAUAACUGAGGCGGCCAAGUGUUACGCAGUCCAGACUUAUACUACACAGAAGCUACUCUUUCGUGCUACGUUGAACAGAAAUACUACACUGAUGCUCCAGUUCACUACACCACGACCUACGCUACACCGCAGCCCUCAAGUACUACAUCGAAGAAGCCGCCUAUUACAAAACAAAGUAUGCUCCCUAGUUUACUACACCGAGGCUCCCAAGUACUACAUCACUAAGGCACCGGAAUUCUACACGUCUAUGUAUCCUCCCCCUGCCUACUACACCGAGGCGCCGCAUUAAUACAACACCGAAGCGCUCAAGUACUACACUACAACCUACGCUGCCCCGAGCUACUACACCUACGUCCUGAAGUAUUACUGUGCGUAAAAGGAGUCGUCUAGAAGAAAACAGAAGAAGUUGUGC